GGCGAGGUAGCUUAGUGGUAAAGCACUGGAGUCAUAACCCAGAGACCGAGGGUUCGAAUCCCUCUCUCGCUA
This 72-nucleotide transfer RNA is filed under the name Thermoplasmata archaeon. Its description in RNAcentral is "tRNA-Met". It matches the Rfam family "tRNA". Rfam says of the family: Transfer RNA (tRNA) molecules are approximately 80 nucleotides in length. Their secondary structure includes four short double-helical elements and three loops (D, anti-codon, and T loops). Further hydrogen bonds mediate the characteristic L-shaped molecular structure. tRNAs have two regions of fundamental functional importance: the anti-codon, which is responsible for specific mRNA codon recognition, and the 3' end, to which the tRNAs corresponding amino acid is attached (by aminoacyl-tRNA synthetases). tRNAs cope with the degeneracy of the genetic code in two manners: having more than one tRNA (with a specific anti-codon) for a particular amino acid; and 'wobble' base-pairing, i.e. permitting non-standard base-pairing at the 3rd anti-codon position. The record is from RNAcentral. Lineage: Archaea; Methanobacteriati; Thermoplasmatota; Thermoplasmata.